This 253-nucleotide ribosomal RNA is filed under the name uncultured bacterium. RNAcentral's name for it is "partial 16S ribosomal RNA". It matches the Rfam family "Bacterial small subunit ribosomal RNA", at positions 524 to 776 of the family's 1533-position model. The record is from RNAcentral.
UACGUAGGGUGCAAGCGUUGUCCGGAAUUAUUGGGCGUAAAGAGCUCGUAGGCGGUCUGUUGCGUCGGCUGUGAAAACCCGGGGCUCAACUCCGGGCCUGCAGCCGAUACGGGCAGACUAGAGUUCGGCAGGGGAGACUGGAAUUCCUGGUGUAGCGGUGAAAUGCGCAGAUAUCAGGAGGAACACCGGUGGCGAAGGCGGGUCUCUGGGCCGAUACUGACGCUGAGGAGCGAAAGCCAGGGGAGCGAACGGG